Molecule: ribosomal RNA, 254 nt
Filed under: uncultured bacterium
Lineage: Bacteria
Description: partial 16S ribosomal RNA
Rfam family: Bacterial small subunit ribosomal RNA
Source: RNAcentral
UACGUAGGUGGCAAGCGUUGUUCGGAAUUAUUGGGCGUAAAGGGCGCGUAGGCGGUUUGUUAAGUCGGCUGUGAAAGCCCGGGGCUCAACCCCGGAGGGUCAGCCGAUACUGGCAGACUAGAGUACGGAAGAGGUAGCUGGAAUUCCCGGUGUAGCGGUGAAAUGCGUAGAGAUCCGGCGGAACACCGGUGGUGAAGGCGGUCUCCUGGGCCGAGGGCCGACGCUGAUGCGCGAGAGCGUGGGGAGCGAACCGG